CCAGGGAAAGGAAUGAGGAGAGUCUGAGGCAAGUGAGAAUUCAGAUGAAAUCAACUGUCUAAAUAGGGCAGGUGAAAACCUCCUCUUGCCACUAUGAGCUGAAUCCUGCUUUUAAGCCAAGAUAGCUUUAUGAGUUGCCUUGCCUGAUGGUGAGCUCAUAGGUUAAGUGGCUGGUAAAUCUUGAAUUUUGGGGUUCAGCCAGAAAGUCUUUGACAAAUGUUAUCAGGUAUGAGCUAAUAGGGACCAUAUGAAAAAACAAGGACAAGUCGGAAUGUAAGAAUACAACUCAUGAACAAGGUUGAAAGAUUUUGGUUUGUUCUUUCAAACAGCUCCACUUCAUUUGCAUACACAGUUGUAAUCUAUUAACUAUGACCAUUAGAUUUAUUCAAAUGUCACCAAGUAAAACCAAAAUACAAAGACUUACUUAAACAAAUGUGAACCACCUCUGCCUCUCUACCUCCAAAACCAACAUCAAAACAAGCAACAGGUGUCCUGCAGAAGUGGAAGCUUCUCCUAUCCAAAAACAUCUCAGAGGCACCAUGUAUAACAUGGGUUUAUUUGAGCUUUCUGCCUGGGACUGUGACCUGACCCCACAUCACUGAAGAACAGAUCUCAUCCCAUCGAGCCUGUGAGCAUAAAAGGAUAAGAUCCCUUGGGUUUUAAGUAGUGCAUUUAAAGAGAAGACAGAAGGUUGAAACUACCAGGCUAGAGUCUGCGGUCUGCACAAACACGCUGUCUCUGCUUUGCUCCCCUCCUGUACUAUGACUUCUAUUUUGAAGGUAAAAUCAGUAAACAAAUUUUGCACAAAGCUGCUCAGAUUUUGUAUUAAAGGCAA
Molecule: long non-coding RNA, 835 nt
Organism: Pogoniulus pusillus (Red-fronted tinkerbird)
Lineage: Eukaryota; Metazoa; Chordata; Aves; Piciformes; Lybiidae
Exons: 3
Source: RefSeq, a predicted model, not a curated record